UGUUUCCCCCACAAUAUCCAUACAAUACGCAUGAUUCAACUUCUUUGUGUUUAGACACUCACAGCACUUGAUUAUGGUUAUGGAACGAUGGUGGUCUGGUUUAAUAUUGAAAAAGUCAACAAUGACUUUAAGCACGACACAGGACGUGUUUACUUUAUUAACAUUUAACAGAGACAACAAUCUUUUCCUUAAUGUUGCCAUUGAACAUAAUCCAGGCAGCAUUUAUUUUUUUCCUAAAAACAAAUUAGUAGUAUAUGAGCAUAAUUUUUAGACAGGGUUGCUAUGUGUAGUUCCUUUGUACCAUCAUGGAGUAUCAAGUUGAAACAUUUUCAACUCACAUAAAUGCAUCGAAAAAGAGAGAACUAGUGUGUCCAGGAAAAAGUAUUUUAAAAAGGCUCACUCUGUGGAGUCAACGGUCACAACAAAGAAAGAAAAGCCUUCUUCAGCCUGAUUUCGGAGGCUUUUGUUUAAACAUGCAAGUGUCAUUCAAUAUGAAGGCUUUUAUGAUACUCAGGACUCAAAGUCUGCAGUGGAAUUUUCUUUUCUCACACAGAGGCACCUUUGCCUCAGUUCAUGCUACCUAGAAUGAAUCCAUGUCUGUGUGAUCCUCUCUUUCCGUUUACUCUAUGCAAUUGUGCUGCAUUUAAGAUUCACUUUGCGUUCAGUCUGAACACAUAUACUCUUAAUCUUCCUGCAUCCCUCAGUUACCUUAACUUUACUGUCUAAAAUCCUUGGAUGGUACAUGAAGGUGUUUGCACCUAAAUACGAUAGUUUUUCAAUGCAUGUGUGCAUGUUCACAGGUUUGUACCUUUGACUUUUUAUCAAAGAACCAGAUAUUUUCUAACACAUGAUAUUCAUUUUUUUGUACUGAUGAUUUAACCAGAGUUUCAUGCUGAUUCAAGCCUUGAAGUGCUCCAACUGUGAGUCACGUAGCAUUGUCUGUGGGAAAAAUUAACUAAACUUUUACUUUCAGAACCAGCAGCAACUCUAUAUUGGUAUCAACUAACUGAACUUUGGCCGAUAGGACAAUUGGACAUAGGACAAGCACAUCUGACCCCAAGACCUGCUGGUGCCAUUUCAGUUCCAUCCAUGUGUUCAGUGGGCCAGAUCCUGCAUCAUCUUCACUCGCUACUUCAACACCAAAACAGUUUGUGGCCCAUCUGUCUCUGGAUUGGCACUGAGGUAAAAAGAGCUGUUUCCUGCUACCAUCUCCUCCAUCUUUUCCAGCAACUCUGUUACCUGAUCAUCAGCUGUGCUCAUAUUGUUAUGAACAUGAUACCUGUU
Molecule: long non-coding RNA, 1284 nt
Organism: Siniperca chuatsi (mandarin fish)
Lineage: Eukaryota; Metazoa; Chordata; Actinopteri; Centrarchiformes; Sinipercidae
Exons: 3
Source: RefSeq, a predicted model, not a curated record